Molecule: RNA transcript, 1962 nt
Organism: Misgurnus anguillicaudatus (oriental weatherfish)
Lineage: Eukaryota; Metazoa; Chordata; Actinopteri; Cypriniformes; Cobitidae
Gene: sult4a1
Gene name: sulfotransferase family 4A, member 1
Source: RefSeq, a predicted model, not a curated record
GAUGCUGAGCAUCCCUCUUAGAGCAUCCCAUUACAUCAUCUUUCCUCCAUCUGAUUGGUUGAAGGUCAAGGCGCAUGCAAAGCGGAACGUCUUCGCCAAACAAUCAAGGGCUGGUGGAUAUUAAAUGCGUCCUAUACAACCCUAAUAUUUAAAAAUCAAUAGCUUGAAGCCUGUCGUUCAGCAAUCGUUUGAAAGGAUGGCGGAAAGCGAGGUGGACACACCGAGCACACCGAUAGAAUACGAGAGCAAAUACUUCGAAUAUCAUGGAGUUCGACUCCCUCCUUUCUGCAGGGGCAAGAUGGACGAGAUCGCCAACUUUUCGUUGAGAAGUAGCGAUAUAUGGAUCGUCACAUAUCCCAAGUCAGGUACGAGUUUGUUACAGGAGGUUGUGUAUCUGGUAAGCCAGGGUGUGGACCCGGAUGAGAUCGGGCUUAUGAAUAUUGAUGAGCAACUUCCUGUGUUGGAGUAUCCACAGCCGGGUUUGGAGAUUAUCCAGGAACUCACAUCUCCACGUCUGAUUAAAAGCCACCUGCCCUACCGUUUCCUACCCACAGCAAUGCACAAUGGAGAAGGCAAGGUGAUAUAUAUGGCCAGGAACCCUAAAGAUCUGGUGGUGUCCUAUUAUCAGUUUCAUCGUUCUUUGAGAACCAUGAGCUACAGGGGAACAUUCCAGGAAUUCUGCAGGAGAUUUAUGAAUGACAAGCUGGGAUAUGGCUCUUGGUUCGAACAUGUCCAGGAAUUCUGGGAACAUCGUAAAGAGUCUAACGUUCUCUUUCUGAAAUAUGAGGACAUGUAUAAGGAUCUGGGUAACCUGGUGGAGCAGCUGGCCAGGUUUCUAGGUAUCUCGUUUGAUAAAGUUCAGCUGGAAACAAUGGUGGAGAGUUGUAACCAGCUCAUUGAGCAGUGCUGUAACUCUGAGGCUCUGUCCAUCUGCAGAGUGCAUGGACUGAAAGGAUGCUGAAAGGUCUCACUGCAUACAGUAGGGUUUAUGAUAAACAGAGUGAUGUGGAAAGUGAGAAUGAAGGGCAAAGGUCGUGUUGGGCUGUGGAAGGACAUUUUCACCGUCUCCAUGAAUGAAAAGUUUGAUGCUGUGUACCGACAGAAGAUGGCAAAGUCUGACCUGACCUUUGACUUUAUUCUGUGAGGAGGCGACAGUGACUAUCAGUUACUAACCAACCAACCAAUCAGUUCGCCCGCUGAUCCGCUGUGCUUAACGCCACCUGCUGGAAAUUUCUCUCAUGGAGAUUUUAUCUUUCAUCUGUAGCAUCUCAUUACUGCUUUCUUUAGUUUCUCAGAAGUUACAUCUAAGUACUUAUGAUCAGUCCUACAAGCGUUCCCUUGUGUGUACUUGUAUAAACAGUGCAUCAGAAGUGUGAGCACAGUGCUUGUAUCGUUUGCACAUUGUACAGAGCUGUUCCAUAUAUCCCAAAUGCGCUUAUGAAAUGUGUAUUUAUGAAAAAUCUAAAUGAAACAAUAAUCUUUAUUCUACAGUAUAUUGUAAAACGCAUAUGACAAACUCAUAAGAAGUUGAUGUCUUGUUGUCUGAGCGUUUGCAUUUCUCAGGAGGAUCCUUAAGAUCAUUGGCUAACAGAUGCACCAAAUAUGCAGGCAUCCAAUCACGUUUCGUGUAUGUUAAACUUGACCAUAUUGAUGAAUGCUGAUUGGCUCCUGUCUAAAAUAUCUACAAGAAUGUUAUUUGUUUAGUUUAUUUCUUUAUUCAUGGCUUCUAGGCUUUUGUUAUAUUACAGUGCAGCUGUUUACAGAUACUGUAUGUAUUACGUUUAAAACUUCAUGUUUAUAUUAUGUUUACUUUGUGCAUGUAUAUUUUUACAUGUGAGCUGUAUCGAGGUGUAUUUGUGAGAGGAUCACAUCUACAGUAAGACAUAUCUGAUCACUCCCUGAUUUAUUCUUGUUAGUUUAAACCCUGUGUUAAAAUGUACAACAUGACGUCCUUAAAUGCUU